RNAcentral lists this ribosomal RNA (301 nucleotides) under uncultured bacterium. RNAcentral's name for it is "partial 16S ribosomal RNA". It matches the Rfam family "Bacterial small subunit ribosomal RNA", at positions 509 to 807 of the family's 1533-position model. The record is from RNAcentral.
CAGCCGCCGCGGGAAUACAGAGGUCCCGAGCGUUGUUCGGAUUCACUGGGCGUAAAGGGUGUGUAGGAGGCUAGGUAAGUCAGUUGUGAAAUCCCACCGCUCAACGGUGGAACUGCAAUCGAUACUGCUUGGCUAGAGGAUCGGAGGGGGAAGCGGAAUUCUUGGUGUAGCGGUGAAAUGCGUAGAUAUCAAGAGGAACACCGGUGGCGAAGGCGGCUUCCUGGAAGAUUCCUGACUCUGAAACACGAAAGCCAGGGGAGCGAAUGGGAUUAGAUACCCCCGUAGUCCCUGUCUCUUAUAC